RNAcentral lists this ribosomal RNA (325 nucleotides) under uncultured Anabaena sp. RNAcentral describes it as "bacterial SSU rRNA". It matches the Rfam family "Bacterial small subunit ribosomal RNA", at positions 130 to 488 of the family's 1533-position model. Lineage: Bacteria; Bacillati; Cyanobacteriota; Cyanophyceae; Nostocales; Nostocaceae. The record is from RNAcentral.
CUUCAGGUCGGGGACAACAGUUGGAACGACUGCUAAUACCGGAUAUGCCGAGAGGUGAAAGAUUAAUUGCCUGGAGAUGAGCUCGCGUCUGAUUAGCUAGUUGGUGGGGUAAGAGCCUACCAAGGCGACGAUCAGUAGCUGGUCUGAGAGGAUGAUCAGCCACACUGGGACUGAGACACGGCCCAGACUCCUACGGGAGGCAGCAGUGGGGAAUUUUCCGCAAUGGGCGAAAGCCUGACGGAGCAAUACCGCGUGAGGGAGGAAGGCUCUUGGGUUGUAAACCUCUUUUCUCAGGGAAGAAAAAAAUGACGGUACCUGAGGAAUA